This 369-nucleotide ribosomal RNA is filed under the name uncultured fungus. RNAcentral describes it as "eukaryotic LSU rRNA". It matches the Rfam family "Eukaryotic large subunit ribosomal RNA", at positions 40 to 398 of the family's 3401-position model. Lineage: Eukaryota; Fungi. The record is from RNAcentral.
AUAUCAAUAAGCGGAGGAAAAGAAACCAACAGGGAUUGCCUCAGUAACGGCGAGUGAAGCGGCAACAGCUCAAAUUUGAAAUCUGGCUCUUUCAGUGGUCCGAAUUGUAAUUUGUAGAGAUGCUUCGAGCGUGUGGCUCCGGUCUAAGUUCCUUGGAACAGGACGUCAUAGAGGGUGAGAAUCCCGUACGUGACUAGGUUGCCUAUCGCUCAUCGUGAAGCUCCUUUCGACGAGUCGAGUUGUUUGGGAAUGCAGCUCAAAAUGGGUGGUAAAUUUCAUCUAAAGCUAAAUACUUGGCCAGAGACCGAUAGCGCACAAGUAGAGUGAUCGAAAGAUGAAAAGCACUUUGGAAAGAGAGUUAAACAGUAC